Molecule: ribosomal RNA, 468 nt
Filed under: uncultured bacterium
Lineage: Bacteria
Description: partial 16S ribosomal RNA
Rfam family: Bacterial small subunit ribosomal RNA
Source: RNAcentral
GACGAACGCUGGCGGCGUGCUUAACACAUGCAAGUCGAACGGAAAGGCCCUGCUUUUGUGGGGUGCUCGAGUGGCGAACGGGUGAGUAACACGUGAGUAACCUGCCCUUGACUUUGGGAUAACUUCAGGAAACUGGGGCUAAUACCGGAUAGGAGUUCCUGCUGCCUGGUGGGGGUUGGAAAGUUUCGGCGGUUGGGGAUGGACUCGCGGCUUAUCAGCUUGUUGGUGGGGUAGUGGCUUACCAAGGCUUUGACGGGUAGCCGGCCUGAGAGGGUGACCGGCCAAAUUGGGACUGAGAUACGGCCCAGACUCCUACGGGAGGCAGCAGUGGGGAAUAUUGCACAAUGGGCGGAAGCCUGAUGCAGCAACGCCGCGUGCGGGAUGACGGCCUUCGGGUUGUAAACCGCUUUCGCCUGUGACGAAGCGUGAGUGACGGUAAUGGGUAAAGAAGCACCGGCUAACUACGUG